This 23-nucleotide non-coding RNA is filed under the name Cricetulus griseus (Chinese hamster). Lineage: Eukaryota; Metazoa; Chordata; Mammalia; Rodentia; Cricetidae. The record is from RNAcentral.
UCUGUACCUCUAGCAAGCAUACU